RNAcentral lists this ribosomal RNA (390 nucleotides) under uncultured bacterium. RNAcentral describes it as "bacterial SSU rRNA". It matches the Rfam family "Bacterial small subunit ribosomal RNA", at positions 30 to 419 of the family's 1533-position model. The record is from RNAcentral.
AUUGAACGCUGGCGGCAUGCCUUACACAUGCAAGUCGAACGGCAGCGCGGGCUUCGGCCUGGCGGCGAGUGGCGAACGGGUGAGUAAUAUAUCGGAACGUACCCAAGAGUGGGGGAUAACGUAGCGAAAGUUACGCUAAUACCGCAUACGAUCUAAGGAUGAAAGCAGGGGAUCGCAAGACCUUGUGCUCCUGGAGCGGCCGAUAUCUGAUUAGCUAGUUGGUGGGGUAAAGGCCCCACCAAGGCAACGAUCAGUAGCUGGUCUGAGAGGACGACCAGCCACACUGGAACUGAGACACGGUCCAGACUCCUACGGGAGGCAGCAGUGGGGAAUUUUGGACAAUGGGCGCAAGCCUGAUCCAGCAAUGCCGCGUGAGUGAAGAAGGCCUUC